RNAcentral lists this ribosomal RNA (216 nucleotides) under Escherichia coli. RNAcentral describes it as "partial 16S ribosomal RNA". It matches the Rfam family "Bacterial small subunit ribosomal RNA", at positions 1 to 215 of the family's 1533-position model. Lineage: Bacteria; Pseudomonadati; Pseudomonadota; Gammaproteobacteria; Enterobacterales; Enterobacteriaceae. The record is from RNAcentral.
AAAUUGAAGAGUUUGAUCAUGGCUCAGAUUGAACGCUGGCGGCAGGCCUAACACAUGCAAGUCGAACGGUAACAGAAAGCAGCUUGCUGCUUUGCUGACGAGUGGCGGACGGGUGAGUAAUGUCUGGGAAACUGCCUGAUGGAGGGGGAUAACUACUGGAAACGGUAGCUAAUACCGCAUAACGUCGCAAGACCAAAGAGGNGGACCUUCGGGCCU